RNAcentral lists this ribosomal RNA (1235 nucleotides) under metagenome. Its description in RNAcentral is "bacterial LSU rRNA". It matches the Rfam family "Bacterial large subunit ribosomal RNA", at positions 1564 to 2808 of the family's 2925-position model. The record is from RNAcentral.
UGAAUACGAGAUGCUACGGCGUCGAAGCAGUCUAUGUCAUACUUCCAAGAAAAGCUUGCACUGUCAUAAACAAAUAAUGCCUGUACCAUAACCGACACAGGUGGGUAGGUAGAGUAUACUAAGGGGCGCGAGAUAACUCUCUCUAAGGAACUCGGCAAAAUGACUCCGUAACUUCGGGAGAAGGAGUGCCUUAUUUAUAAGGUUGCAAUAACAAGAUCCAAGCAACUGUUUUACCAAAAACACAGGUCUCCGCUAAGUCGUAAGACGAUGUAUGGGGGCUGACGCCUGCCCAGUGCCAGAAGGUUAAAGAAGUUGGUUAGCAUCCGCGAAGCUGAUAACUGAAGCCCUGGUGAACGGCGGCCGUAACAAUAACGGUCCUAAGGUAGCGAAAUUCCUUGUCGGGUAAGUUCCGACCCGCACGAAAGGCGUAAUGAUUUGGAUACUGUCUCGGAGAGGGGCUCGGUAAAAUAGACUUGUCUGUGAAGAUGCGGACUACCUGCACCAGGACAGAAAGACCCUAUGAAGCUUUACUGUAACCUGAAAUUGAAAUUGGACUUUACUUGCGCAGUAUAGGUGGGAGGCGUUGAGAAUAUUCUUGCGGGAUUAUUGGAGCCAUCAGUGAGAUACCACUCUUGUAAUGUUAGAUUUCUAACUUUGUAUCAUUAUCUGGUCAAAGAACAGUUUCAGGCGGGCAGUUUGACUGGGGCGGUCGCCUCCUAAACGGUAACGGAGGCGCACAAAGGUUUCCUCUGAACGGGUAGAAAUCGUAUCUAGAGUGUAAAGGCAUAAGGAAGCUUGACUGUGAGACCUACAAGUCGAGCAGGGACGAAAGUCGGUCUUAGUGAUCUGACGGUGCUGAGUGGAAAGGCCGUCACUCAACGGAUAAAGUUACUCUAAGGAUAACAGGCUGAUCUCCCCCAAGAGUUCACAUCGACGGGGAGGUUUGGCACCUCGAUGUCGGCUCAUCGCAUCCUGGGGCGGUAGUACGUCCCAAGGGUUGGGCUGUUCGCCCAUGAAAGCGGUACGCGAGCUGGGUUCAGAACGUCGUGAGACAGUUCGGUCCAUAUCCGGUGUAGGCGUUAGAAUAUUGAGAGGAGCCUUCUUUAGUACGAGAGGACCGAGAAGGACAUACCUCUGGUGUACCAGUUAUCGUGCCAACGGUAAACGCUGGGUAGCUAUGUGUGGAGUGGAUAACCGCUGAAAGCAUCUAAGUGGGAAGCCCACCUCAAGAUAAG